UCCUACGGGAGGCAGCAGUGGGGAAUAUUGCACAAUGGGCGGAAGCCUGAUGCAGCAACGCCGCGUGCGGGAUGACGGCCUUCGGGUUGUAAACCGCUUUCGCCUGUGACGAAGCGUGAGUGACGGUAAUGGGUAAAGAAGCACCGGCUAACUACGUGCCAGCAGCCGCGGUGAUACGUAGGGUGCGAGCGUUGUCCGGAUUUAUUGGGCGUAAAGGGCUCGUAGGUGGUUGAUCGCGUC
Molecule: ribosomal RNA, 240 nt
Filed under: uncultured bacterium
Lineage: Bacteria
Description: partial 16S ribosomal RNA
Rfam family: Bacterial small subunit ribosomal RNA
Source: RNAcentral